GACGAACGCUGGCGGCGUGCCUAAUACAUGCAAGUAGAACUCACAGUUUAUACCGUAGCUUGCUACACCAUAGACUGUGAGUUGCGAACGGGUGAGUAACGCGUAGGUAACCUGCCUGGUAGCGGGUGAUAACUAUUGGAAACGAUAGCUAAUACCGCAUAAUAUUAAUUAUUACAUGAUAAUUCAUUGAAAGGUGCAAUUUCACCACUACCAGAUGGACCUGCGUUGUAUUAGCUAGUAGGUAAGGUAACAGCUCACCUAGGCGACGAUGCAUAGCAGACCUAAGAGAGUGAACGGACACACUGAGAUUGAGACACGGAGCAGAAGGCUACGAGAAGGAGCAGGAAGGAAUCUUCGGGAAGGGACGAAAGACUGAACGAGCAAAGCAGCGUGAGGGAAAAAGGGUUUAGGGACAUAAAGAUCUGUAAUAAGAGAAGAACGAGUGUGAGAAUGGAAAGUGCACAGUGUGACGGUAUCUUACCAGAAAGGGACGGCUAACUACGUG
RNAcentral lists this ribosomal RNA (505 nucleotides) under uncultured bacterium. Its description in RNAcentral is "partial 16S ribosomal RNA". It matches the Rfam family "Bacterial small subunit ribosomal RNA", at positions 28 to 507 of the family's 1533-position model. The record is from RNAcentral.